CUCAACCUUGGAAUUGCAUUCCAAACUGAAAGACUGGAGUACGAUAGAGGGAGGUAGAAUUCAGAGUGUAGCGGUGAAAUGCGUAGAUAUUCUGAGGAAUACCAGUGGCGAAGGCGGCCUCCUGGAUUGAUACUGACACUGAGGCGCGAAAGCGUGGGGAGCAAACAGGAUUGGAUACCCUGGUAGUCCACGCCGUAAACGAUGUCUACUAGCCGUUGGGAGGCUUGACCUCUUAGUGGCGAAGCUAACGCGAUAAGUAGACCGCCUGGGGAGUACGGUCGCAAGAUUAAAACUCAAAUGAAUUGACGGGGGCCCGCACAAGCGGUGGAGCAUGUGGUUUAAUUCGAUGCAACGCGAAAAACCUUACCAGGCCUUGACAUCCAGAGAACUUUCCAGAGAUGGAUUGGUGCCUUCGGGAACUC
RNAcentral lists this ribosomal RNA (422 nucleotides) under uncultured Gammaproteobacteria bacterium. RNAcentral's name for it is "bacterial SSU rRNA". It matches the Rfam family "Bacterial small subunit ribosomal RNA", at positions 608 to 1029 of the family's 1533-position model. Lineage: Bacteria; Pseudomonadati; Pseudomonadota; Gammaproteobacteria. The record is from RNAcentral.